Schistosoma mansoni is the source of this 45-nucleotide non-coding RNA. NCBI's taxonomy places the organism in Eukaryota, Metazoa, Platyhelminthes, Trematoda, Strigeidida, Schistosomatidae. The record is from Rfam.
AUCCAGCUGACGAGUCCCAAAGAGGACGAAACGUUCAUCCUGGAC